CUGGAAUCGCUAGUAAUCGCGGAUCAGAAUGCCGCGGUGAAUACGUUCCCGGGUCUUGUACACACCGCCCGUCACACCAUGGGAGUCGGAAAUGCCCGAAGUCUGUGACCCAACCGAAAGGAGGGAGCAGCCGAAGGCAGGUCGGAUGACUGGGGUGAAGUCGUAACAAGGUAUC
Molecule: ribosomal RNA, 175 nt
Filed under: uncultured bacterium
Lineage: Bacteria
Description: partial 16S ribosomal RNA
Rfam family: Bacterial small subunit ribosomal RNA
Source: RNAcentral